RNAcentral lists this transfer RNA (73 nucleotides) under Ipomoea nil (Japanese morning glory). It matches the Rfam family "tRNA". From Rfam's summary of the family: Transfer RNA (tRNA) molecules are approximately 80 nucleotides in length. Their secondary structure includes four short double-helical elements and three loops (D, anti-codon, and T loops). Further hydrogen bonds mediate the characteristic L-shaped molecular structure. tRNAs have two regions of fundamental functional importance: the anti-codon, which is responsible for specific mRNA codon recognition, and the 3' end, to which the tRNAs corresponding amino acid is attached (by aminoacyl-tRNA synthetases). tRNAs cope with the degeneracy of the genetic code in two manners: having more than one tRNA (with a specific anti-codon) for a particular amino acid; and 'wobble' base-pairing, i.e. permitting non-standard base-pairing at the 3rd anti-codon position. Lineage: Eukaryota; Viridiplantae; Streptophyta; Magnoliopsida; Solanales; Convolvulaceae. The record is from Rfam by way of RNAcentral.
GUUCGUGUGGCCUAAUGGAUAAGGUGCUCGCCUCCGGAGCGGGAGAUUGUGGAUUCGGGUCCCACCGUGAACA